AAUCAGGCUUAUAAAUAUUUACUUUAAAAAAUAUUAGAAUCUCCAACUGCAUGCCAGAGUAACGGAGAGACUUUGACAGCCCAGGUUAUCACAGUGCCUGCUGUUGCCACUCAGCUCUCCUAUAUGU
Molecule: small nucleolar RNA, 127 nt
Organism: Rattus norvegicus (Norway rat)
Lineage: Eukaryota; Metazoa; Chordata; Mammalia; Rodentia; Muridae
Product: small nucleolar RNA SNORA44
Source: Ensembl